RNAcentral lists this ribosomal RNA (582 nucleotides) under Triticum aestivum (bread wheat). RNAcentral describes it as "partial small subunit ribosomal RNA". The record is from RNAcentral. Lineage: Eukaryota; Viridiplantae; Streptophyta; Magnoliopsida; Poales; Poaceae.
AUGGCGCCGCCGGCCCUCAAUCUCGCCGGAUCCGGCCGCCUCCACGCCAAAUCCGCCGAAAAUGGAUCCACCCCGGCCAGAUCCGCCCGGAUCCGACCGGGCCUCCUGCCGUACGACGCCUCAUCGAGGAGUACAACAGCUGCCCCAUGCCAGCCAAGAUCCUCCAGAUCCUCUCCACCCAACCGCCGUCAUUGCAGGAGGACUUUGACGAGUGGCUCACCAAAAAGCUUCCCCAAAUCCUACAAGAGGCUCAGGUUAGACGAGCCGCUGACAAAGACACACCUCUAUUCUGAAUUUUUACUUGCAAAGAUGGACCAUCAGCUACAGAAUAUGUUGGCUAAACUCUCACAGGUUUGGAGCCGACCACGGAAGUCACAGUUUAAGAGCUCGAGGAGGAGGGGCAUGUGGAGGUUUCCGCCGCCAGUGGCUGCACUGCUGGUCUUCGUCGCCUGCUGCUGUCAGAUCCAGCAUGACCUAUCCUAUCGGUUCUCCAUCGCUUCACUCUGCUUCAUGUGCAUAUGUGCGGAGAAUAUGACGACCCGCCCCUGUUCUUCACCAGCCACACUCUCCCUUAUGCGGUAA